This 24-nucleotide non-coding RNA is filed under the name Mus musculus (house mouse). The record is from RNAcentral. Lineage: Eukaryota; Metazoa; Chordata; Mammalia; Rodentia; Muridae.
UAGGGCUCUAAUGUAGACUGGUCA